RNAcentral lists this transfer RNA (65 nucleotides) under Dipodomys ordii (Ord's kangaroo rat). It matches the Rfam family "tRNA". Rfam says of the family: Transfer RNA (tRNA) molecules are approximately 80 nucleotides in length. The record is from Rfam by way of RNAcentral. Lineage: Eukaryota; Metazoa; Chordata; Mammalia; Rodentia; Heteromyidae.
GGUGGCUCAGUGGUAGAGCGCUUGCUUUGUAUGCAUGAAGCCCUGGGUUCGAUUCCUCAGCACCA